RNAcentral lists this long non-coding RNA (2521 nucleotides) under Equus caballus (horse). RNAcentral describes it as "lncRNA (ENSECAG00000053448.1)". Lineage: Eukaryota; Metazoa; Chordata; Mammalia; Perissodactyla; Equidae. The record is from RNAcentral.
GUUGUGUGUGCCUGUGGGAGUUUUGUUUGUUUUGGAACUAUGGUUAUUUUAGAACACUGUCAAAAUAAGUCUGUCAUUAUCUUUGACAAAAUGGGCUAAUAUUCCAUUGUAAAUUGAAGAAUGAUGCCGAUGAUGGUGACAUGUAAUGGAGGGCCUUCUCAUCAGCAACAAAAUUAAUCAGAGUUCAUCUAUGAGCCAGAGAAUGAUUCAGCUUCCACUUGCGAUCCUGCAUAUAGAUUGAAGUUCAUGAAAUGAUAUGAUAGGCGGAUCAACACAAAGUUAGCUGAAGAUUAUGAAGCAUGUCAGGGCCUUGAAUCACCAUCUUUUCAAGAGGCUUUGUCAGAUAACAGGAGCAGAAUAUUAUCAACCGCACGGAAUAAGACAGGUCAUGAAGUGCUUAUUGAACUUGAAGCAGAACUUUGCGUGGGUCCUUAAGAGACAAAGAAAAGGAAAGCCAAUUCUCCAAGCAAUUCUACUGGGAGGAGCUCGCUCACAGUUUGGUUUAUUAGGCACAUAGUUCUGGUCAUUCUGAAUGAGGUAAAUCUUUCAGUUCAAGGUCCUGGAGUCAUCAACCUCAAUCUUCUGAAAAACAAAACAAAAAAGUACAAGCUCUUUUGGCCAAGCAUACACACUUGGAAGAAUAACUUAGAGAGACAAAACCUCAAACUUUCCAUCACUGAAGGAAAUGCUUCUACAGGCUGGAAUUGAGAGUGACAAAGAAGAAGCUUUCUUGAUUUCUUUGCAGUCAGAAAACUGUAGCAACCUGAAAGCCCUCAGAACACUUUUGAGCAUUACUUCUGCUCAAAUAAUCUUCAAGUGGAAAGUGAAUCUGUAAUCCUUUCCUUGUUGACACAGAUGGCAGUGAUGAAGCAGACCUUGCCAAAUAUGACUUCAUGGACUUGAGGACAAAGGAAAUGAAGUAACAAGAAUUCAACUUGAAGAGUUGUAGAGAAUCCUACAGCUAGAAGACUUGUAGGUGUCCUUGAUCCAAACCCAUUCUUAGCUGGCCACUGAUUCUAUUUGUUACCACAGACUUUACUGGGUCAGGGUUUUGACAAGAGAUUUUCACAUUUUGAGGUAUAUGGGGUAACUAUUCAGGUUCAAAACUGAUUUGGCUUGAGCUAAAGAAGCCUUACUUAUGGCCUGUCAAACAUACAUUAGCCAUCUACUUUAACCAUUGAAGUAAAGAACGUGCUCUCUUAAGAUAAGAAUGCAUACUUCCCCUUCUACCCCUUUUGGUAACCCCCAUAUUAGUCCCCUUCCCAACAUCAGGAUCAUGUUGACCUGCUAAUUUGCCACUGAAUACCUCUUUGAAAUUUUGAUGAAUAUGUAUCCUGGGCAUGUGUUUUUUUUGCUGGGAAAGAUUUGCCCUCAGCUAACAUCUGUUGCCAAUCUUCCUCAUUUUUUCUUUUCCCUCCCCAAAGCCCCAGUACAUAGUUGUAUAUUCUACUUGUAGGUCCUAUUCGUUCUUCUAUGUGAGCCCUCACCACAGCAUGGCUCCUGACAGACAAGCGGUGUGGUUCCAUGCCUGGGAACUGAAUGCAGGCCACCAAAGUGGAUUGUGCCAAACUUUAACCACUAGGCCUUCAGGGCUGGCUCCUGGGCAUGUUUAACGUAUGUUCUUUGUUCUAAAGAGAUAUAAGACUGUACCAAAAACCAGGCUUCUCUGGAAUACUUCUUUCCUUUCUGGAAAAAGCCUUCCCAAGUUAUAAUCCCCACUCUGGCUCAAGUAAAAAUCACGUAUAUCUCUUACCUAUGGAAUGGUUGUUCAUUAUUUUGCUUUGACAUUUCCAACCCUUAUUUCUAUCAAAGGAAAAGUUAAAAUCAAUUGUAUGAUGAUGUUUGUCUUAUCUUUUCAAAAACCACAUAACUUCAUAUUAAACCAAAGGAGCCUCCCUGGAGGCAGUUACAGGAAAGUAGCUGUGGUAGGCAGAAUUCAAAGAUGGUCCCCAAGUAUCCCAACCCUGGGAUACACAGCUUGUAUAAUCUCCUCCCCUUGUGCAGGCAGAACCUAUGAAUAUGAUAGGUUAUCACUCUUGUGAUUAGGUUUCUAAUCAGUUGUCUUUGAGUUAAUCCAAAGGGACAUGGUCCAGCUGACCAGGAUCUAAUGAGGUGAGUCCUUAAAACGGGCUGAGUCCCUUAGGAAGUCAGAGACAUAUGCUACUAUUGGCCUGGAAGCAAGCAAACCUCCAUGCCAGGAACCGCCAAUGGAGGCCACAUGGCAAGGAACUUAGGGCAGUAUCCAGGACUGAGAGUAGUCCCCAGCCAACAGCUAGCAAGAAAAUGGGGAUCUCAGACCUGUAAUCAAAAUUCUGCCAACAAUCUGCAUGGGCCUUGAAGGGUACCCCAAGCCUUAGGUGACAACUGAGCGCCCUCAGCUUCACUGUGCUCAGACUUGUGACCACAGAAACCUUGAAAUAAUAAAUGAGUGCUGGUUUCUUUUUUUUUUCCCCCCAAAAAAAACCAAUGAACAAAAUGGACAAACAAAAUAAAGCAAAGGAGCAGCAUCUUUUUUAUUAAA